This 349-nucleotide unclassified non-coding RNA is filed under the name soil metagenome. Its description in RNAcentral is "partial contains 5.8S ribosomal RNA, internal transcribed spacer 2, and large subunit ribosomal RNA". The stretch from base 1 to 120 matches the Rfam family "5.8S ribosomal RNA", at positions 35 to 154 of the family's 154-position model. The record is from RNAcentral.
GAUGAAGAACGUAGUGAAAUGCGAUAACUAGUGUGAAUUGCAGAAUUCCGUGAAUCAUCGAGUCUUUGAACGCACAUUGCGCCCCCUGGUAUUCCGGGGGGCAUGCCUGUCCGAGCGUCAUUGCUGCCCAUCAAGCACGGCUUGUGUGUUGGGUCGUCGUCCCCUCUCCGGGGGGGACGGGCCCCAAAGGCAGCGGCGGCACCGCGUCCGAUCCUCGAGCGUAUGGGGCUUUGUCACCCGCUCUGUAGGCCCGGCCGGCGCUUGCCGAACGCAAAUCAAUCUUUUUCCAGGUUGACCUCGGAUCAGGUAGGGAUACCCGCUGAACUUAAGCAUAUCAAUAAGCGGAGGA